This 112-nucleotide Y RNA is filed under the name Propithecus coquereli (Coquerel's sifaka). Its description in RNAcentral is "Y RNA (ENSPCOG00000006573.1)". It matches the Rfam family "Y RNA". Rfam says of the family: Y RNAs are components of the Ro ribonucleoprotein particle (Ro RNP), in association with Ro60 and La proteins. The record is from Rfam by way of RNAcentral. Lineage: Eukaryota; Metazoa; Chordata; Mammalia; Primates; Indriidae.
GGCUGUCUAAAGGUAGGGAGUUAUCUCAAUUGAUUGUCCAUAGUCAGUUACAGACCUAACUCCUUGUUCUACUCUUUCACCCCUUCUUACUACAACACUUGACUAAUCUUUA